GAACAGUUUCGGUGCCCGGGUCCUCUCCGAAAACAUAUCGAAGAUAAAAAAAGAAAUGUCAUCAUUUGAAGUAAUUUUUGUGUAAAACGCUCUACAAAAAGAGGAGAAAGGAAGAAAGCAAAUCAUUUGGAUGGACAAGCAGAUGGGACAGACAAAAAAAAAAUCCAUUUUGAAAAUAGCAAAUGAGGUCAAAAGCCAAGAGAUCAAAAAGAAACCAAAACUGCACACUCCUAAAUCAAUGCAAAGACUGUUUUUGAGAGAAUCCAGAAUCUUGGAUACACAGACUUUCACGCUAUUUCCCUUUACACUUUCUGGUUCAUGGCAUCAAACUGCUGCACUUCCUGGCGUCACCUGAUGGCAAUGAUGGCAUGCUGCUAACAACAAAAUGGCCACCAGAACCACAAAAUGGUAAUGAUUGUGUCAAUAAAAUGGAGACCAAAAAUAA
Long non-coding RNA from Polypterus senegalus (gray bichir), 445 nucleotides. RefSeq lists it as uncharacterized. The record is from RefSeq and is a predicted model, not a curated record. Lineage: Eukaryota; Metazoa; Chordata; Cladistia; Polypteriformes; Polypteridae. The transcript has 2 exons.